CCCUUAGAUGUUCUGGGCCGCACGCGCGCUACACUGUCGGAUGCAGCGAGUCUUAACCUUAACCGAAAGGUUUGGGUAAUCUUAUGAAAGUCCGACGUGAUGGGGAUUGAUCAUUGCAAUUAUUGAUCAUGAACGAGGAAUUCCUAGUAAGCGCGAGUCAUCAGCUCGCGUUGAUUACGUCCCUGCCCUUUGUACACACCGCCCGUCGCACCUACCGAUUGAAUGGUCCGGUGAAAUCUUGGGAUUUUGUUUUGUUUGCAUUUAUUUGUAUCGAGACGAGAGAACUUGAGUAAACCUUACCAUUUAGAGGAAGGUGAAGUCGUAACA
Molecule: ribosomal RNA, 327 nt
Filed under: uncultured eukaryote
Lineage: Eukaryota
Description: partial 18S ribosomal RNA
Rfam family: Eukaryotic small subunit ribosomal RNA
Source: RNAcentral